Molecule: ribosomal RNA, 484 nt
Filed under: uncultured bacterium
Lineage: Bacteria
Description: partial 16S ribosomal RNA
Rfam family: Bacterial small subunit ribosomal RNA
Source: RNAcentral
AUUGAACGCUGGCGGCAGGCCUAACACAUGCAAGUCGAGCGGAUGAAGGGAGCUUGCUCCUGGAUUCAGCGGCGGACGGGUGAGUAAUGCCUAGGAAUCUGCCUGGUAGUGGGGGAUAACGUCCGGAAACGGGCGCCAAUACCGCAUCCGUCCUGAGGGAGAAAGUGGGGGAUCUUCGGACCUCACGCUAUCAGAUGAGCCUAGGUCGGAUUAGCUAGUUGGUGGGGUAAAGGCCUACCAAGGCGACGAUCCGUAACUGGUCUGAGAGGAUGAUCAGUCACACUGGAACUGAGACACGGUCCAGACUCCUACGGGAGGCAGCAGUGGGGAAUAUUGGACAAUGGGCGAAAGCCUGAUCCAGCCAUGCCGCGUGUGUGAAGAAGGUCUUCGGAUUGUAAAACACUUUAAGUUGGGAGGAAGGGCAGUAAGUUAAUACCUUGCUGUUUUGACGUUACCAACAGAAUAAGCACCGGCUAACUUCGUG